AUGAAGAUUGUGACCUGCCACAUAAUGAAACCGCCAGUAGUCGCGAAUAUCUCAUUCUUCCCUAAUCCAAUAUUGGAGAAAGAAGAUCUAGGAGGGGCCUAUAUAGAAUGUAGUCAGAAAUCCAUAGUAGAGUCCGACCACAAUGACUGAAUUAAUUAUCAUCAUCGAGAAACUUAG
Molecule: ribosomal RNA, 177 nt
Filed under: Triticum aestivum (bread wheat)
Lineage: Eukaryota; Viridiplantae; Streptophyta; Magnoliopsida; Poales; Poaceae
Description: partial small subunit ribosomal RNA
Source: RNAcentral